Long non-coding RNA from Notothenia coriiceps (black rockcod), 297 nucleotides. RefSeq lists it as uncharacterized. The transcript has 3 exons. The record is from RefSeq and is a predicted model, not a curated record. Lineage: Eukaryota; Metazoa; Chordata; Actinopteri; Perciformes; Nototheniidae.
CAGCGGUGGUUGUGAGUAACCUGAGCAAGCAGUACAAAGGCAGGAGAGAAGGCUUUUCUCUGAACAAGGGGAGGAAAGAGGCAACGAAGAACAUCUCUUUCUGCGUUCGCAAAGGGGAAGUUCUUGGACUGUUAGGCCCCAACGGAUCAGGAAAAAGCACCAUCAUGCACAUGCUGUCGGGGGACACUGACCCCACCUCAGGCCAGGUGCUGAUGGGGGACUACAGCACAGAGUUCCGUCCGGUGGAGAAUCCUCUGGAGCAUGUGGGCUACUGUCCUCAGGUGAACCCUCUGUGGC